RNAcentral lists this ribosomal RNA (306 nucleotides) under Salmonella enterica subsp. enterica serovar Kentucky. RNAcentral describes it as "bacterial SSU rRNA". It matches the Rfam family "Bacterial small subunit ribosomal RNA", at positions 577 to 882 of the family's 1533-position model. The record is from RNAcentral. Lineage: Bacteria; Pseudomonadati; Pseudomonadota; Gammaproteobacteria; Enterobacterales; Enterobacteriaceae.
GGUCUGUCAAGUCGGAUGUGAAAUCCCCGGGCUCAACCUGGGAACUGCAUUCGAAACUGGCAGGCUUGAGUCUUGUAGAGGGGGGUAGAAUUCCAGGUGUAGCGGUGAAAUGCGUAGAGAUCUGGAGGAAUACCGGUGGCGAAGGCGGCCCCCUGGACAAAGACUGACGCUCAGGUGCGAAAGCGUGGGGAGCAAACAGGAUUAGAUACCCUGGUAGUCCACGCCGUAAACGAUGUCUACUUGGAGGUUGUGCCCUUGAGGCGUGGCUUCCGGAGCUAACGCGUUAAGUAGACCGCCUGGGGAGUA